Molecule: transfer RNA, 76 nt
Filed under: Brooklawnia cerclae
Lineage: Bacteria; Bacillati; Actinomycetota; Actinomycetes; Propionibacteriales; Propionibacteriaceae
Description: tRNA-Arg
Rfam family: tRNA
About the family: Transfer RNA (tRNA) molecules are approximately 80 nucleotides in length. Their secondary structure includes four short double-helical elements and three loops (D, anti-codon, and T loops).
Source: RNAcentral
GCACCCAUAGCUUAAUGGAUAGAGCAUCUGACUACGGAUCAGAAGGUUGGGGGUUCGAGUCCCUCUGGGUGCGCCA